GACGAACGCUGGCGGCGUGCUUAACACAUGCAAGUCGAACGGAAAGGCCCUGCUUUUGUGGGGUGCUCGAGUGGCGAACGGGUGAGUAACACGUGAGUAACCUGCCCUUGACUUUGGGAUAACUUCAGGAAACUGGGGCUAAUACCGGAUAGGAGCUCCUGCUGCAUGGUGGGGGUUGGAAAGUUUCGGCGGUUGGGGAUGGACUCGCGGCUUAUCAGCUUGUUGGUGGGGUAGUGGCUUACCAAGGCUUUGACGGGUAGCCGGCCUGAGAGGGUGACCGGCCACAUUGGGACUGAGAUACGGCCCAGACUCCUACGGGAGGCAGAAGUGGGGAAUAUUGCACAAUGGGCGGAAGCCUGAUGCAGCAACGCCGCGUGCGAGAUGACGGCCUUCGGGUUGUAAACCGCUUUCGCCUGUGACGAAGCGUGAGUGACGGUAAUGUGUAAAGAAGCACCGGCUAAUUACGAG
RNAcentral lists this ribosomal RNA (468 nucleotides) under uncultured bacterium. Its description in RNAcentral is "partial 16S ribosomal RNA". It matches the Rfam family "Bacterial small subunit ribosomal RNA", at positions 28 to 507 of the family's 1533-position model. The record is from RNAcentral.